Molecule: long non-coding RNA, 1066 nt
Filed under: Brassica napus (rape)
Lineage: Eukaryota; Viridiplantae; Streptophyta; Magnoliopsida; Brassicales; Brassicaceae
Description: long non-coding RNA (BNAP_LNC003603)
Source: RNAcentral
UUGCUAUUAACUUAAAAGAGAAAACGUACAUAAAGACUACAGCCCAGCCAGGCAUUUGUUUCUUGGGUCUAGCCCAUUAGUUAAAGACAACAAAAAGAAAUCCUUUUAGGAGGCCCAUUUUAAGAAACCAGUCGAGAAAGAGGGGAAUUGUCGAUACAUCUUCGUUAUGAGUCAUGCAGAGAUUCGGCGAGACCAGCUGAGAGAGAUGAAGUGCGAACCUGAGCCCGGAAUGCUGAAAGAGGGAGUUCUUCAUGGUGAAGACAUCCAAAUAUUGAAGAGCGCUGAUGAGAGAGGUGGUGAGGAUAAUCUGAUGGAGGCAAUUUUUGUUCUGAUGGUAGAGAUGACCAGAGAAGAGAUUGAGUCCGGUGAUCGGAAUGUAUUGCGGUGGAGGCGGUUGUUUCUCUCAGUCCAGAUGAGGUAGAUCACACAUUGCCAAGUGAGGAGACAGAGUAGCUUAUUAGGGCGAGGUCGAUUCAGUUGCUGGAGUUCAGAGAUAGUUUGAUUCCAGGUGCGAGACGGAGCUAGGUUGCAUCGGGCUGACAUUCUUGACCAGACAGACCAGGCAAAAGGGCAUUCAAAGAAGAUAUGGUCUCUAGAUUCAGCCGGGGCAUUACAUAGCAGACAAUUCGGGGAAGUUGGUAGUCCCCAGUUUAUGAGACGAUCUCUGGUGGGACAUCUAUCUUUGAUGAACAGCCAUGUUAAGAAACAAUGUUUAGGAAUACCCCAUGAGAUCCAUACCAAUUUGCACCAAGGAACCAGAGGAUUAUGAUGCUUUAGUUCUGUAUACACUCGACCGGUAGAGUAAGUCUUCGUUAUCUUAUCAUUCAUAACCCAUUCCACAUAGUCAUCUCCUUCUCUAAGAUUUAUAGUUGAUAGAAAGGCAUAGAGGGUAACCUGGUUGUCUGAACGAGCAGGGGGGAGCCUCCAAAUUCCGUGGUGAUUGAGGUCAGAGAUAGUAGCCGUCUUUGGAAUACCCAUUCGCGCUGCAGGAGCGAGGUUCAGAUAGACAGACAGGUUGCCAAAGGGACUCCAGUUAUCACUCCAAAACCGACAGGUAGCACCAUCU